RNAcentral lists this ribosomal RNA (912 nucleotides) under Bipolaris triticicola. RNAcentral's name for it is "LSU rRNA". It matches the Rfam family "Eukaryotic large subunit ribosomal RNA", at positions 35 to 965 of the family's 3401-position model. The record is from RNAcentral. Lineage: Eukaryota; Fungi; Ascomycota; Dothideomycetes; Pleosporales; Pleosporaceae.
UAAGCAUAUCAAUAAGCGGAGGAAAAGAAACCAACAGGGAUUGCCCUAGUAACGGCGAGUGAAGCGGCAACAGCUCAAAUUUGAAAUCUGGCUCUUUCAGAGUCCGAGUUGUAAUUUGCAGAGGGCGCUUUGGCUUUGGCAGCGGUCCAAGUUCCUUGGAACAGGACGUCACAGAGGGUGAGAAUCCCGUACGUGGUCGCUAGCUAUUGCCGUGUAAAGCCCCUUCGACGAGUCGAGUUGUUUGGGAAUGCAGCUCUAAAUGGGAGGUAAAUUUCUUCUAAAGCUAAAUAUUGGCCAGAGACCGAUAGCGCACAAGUAGAGUGAUCGAAAGAUGAAAAGCACUUUGGAAAGAGAGUCAAACAGCACGUGAAAUUGUUGAAAGGGAAGCGCUUGCAGCCAGACUUGCUUGCAGUUGCUCAUCCGGGCUUUUGCCCGGUGCACUCUUCUGUAGGCAGGCCAGCAUCAGUUUGGGCGGUGGGAUAAAGGUCUCUGUCACGUACCUCUCUUCGGGGAGGCCUUAUAGGGGAGACGACAUACCACCAGCCUAGACUGAGGUCCGCGCAUCUGCUAGGAUGCUGGCGUAAUGGCUGUAAGCGGCCCGUCUUGAAACACGGACCAAGGAGUCUAACAUCUAUGCGAGUGUUUGGGUGUCAAGCCCGAGCGCGUAAUGAAAGUGAACGGAGGUGGGAACCCGCAAGGGCGCACCAUCGACCGAUCCUGAAGUUUACGGAAGGAUUUGAGUAAGAGCAUGGCUGUUGGGACCCGAAAGAUGGUGAACUAUGCUUGAAUAGGGUGAAGCCAGAGGAAACUCUGGUGGAGGCUCGCAGCGGUUCUGACGUGCAAAUCGAUCGUCAAAUUUGGGCAUAGGGGCGAAAGACUAAUCGAACUAUCUAGUAGCUGGUUCCUGCCGAU